This 1517-nucleotide ribosomal RNA is filed under the name human gut metagenome. Its description in RNAcentral is "bacterial LSU rRNA". It matches the Rfam family "Bacterial large subunit ribosomal RNA", at positions 447 to 1973 of the family's 2925-position model. The record is from RNAcentral.
CGGGGCCCAUCCCGUAAGGCUAAAUACUCCCGAGAGACCGAUAGCGAACCAGUACCGUGAGGGAAAGGUGAAAAGAACCCCGAGCAGGGGAGUGAAAUAGACCCUGAACCCGUCUGCCUACAAGCGGUCGGAGCAUAGCAAUAUGUGACGGCGUGCCUUUUGCAUAAUGAACCUACGAGUUACCUUCCCCGGCAAGGUUAAGUACCUAAGGUACGGAGCCGAAGCGAAAGCGAGUCUGAAGAGGGCGGCCAGUCGGGGGGGGUAGACGCGAAACCGAGUGAUCUACCCUUGGCCAGGUUGAAGGUUGGGUAACACCAACUGGAGGACCGGAUGGGUAAGCGUUGAAAAGCUUUCCAAUGAGCUGAGGGUAGGGGUGAAAGGCUAAUCAAACUCGGAGAUAGCUCGUACUCCCCGAAAUGCAUUUAGGUGCAGCCUCUUUAUAGUAUAUCGUGAGGUAGAGCGACUGAUUGGAUGCGAGGGCUUCACCGCCUAUCAAGUCCAGAUAAACUCCGAAUGCGCGAUAUAUAUUUACAGGGAGUGAGGGCGCGGGUGCUAAGGUCCGUGUCCGAGAGGAGAAGAAUCCAGACCACCGGCUAAGGCCCCCAAAUGAUCGUUGAGUUGAACUAACGAGGUCGGAUCGCAGAGACAGCUAGGAUGUUGGCUUGGAAGCAGCCAUUCAUUUAAAGAGUGCGUAACAGCUCACUAGUCGAGCGAUCUGGCGUGGAUAAUAAUCGGGCAUAAACGAUCUGCCGAAGCCGUGGAUGUCGUAAGACAUGGUAGGGGAGCAUUCCAUGCGGCGUCGAAGAUGAGGGAUGACCCUUGUUGGAGCGCAUGGAAAAGCAAAUGUAGGUAUGAGUAACGAUAAGGGGGGCGAGAAACCCCCCCGCCGAAAGACCAAGGUUUCCUGAUCAACGCUAAUCGGAUCAGGGUGAGUCGGGACCUAAGGCAAAGCCGAACGGCGCCGCCGAUGGAAGAAUGGGUUAAUAUUCCCAUACUGCCUCAUGGAGUGACGUGGAGACGGAGAAGUGACAGUCCUGCCGGCUGACGGAAUAGCCGGUUGAAGGGUGUAGAUAUUGAUUCCCGUAGGCAAAUCCGCGGGGAGAGUCGAACCUGACAGUAUACCGAGUACUUGUACGAGGUAAUAUGGACGUAACCAUGCUCCCAAGAAAAUCCGCUAAACUUAUCCAUGCGGCACCCGUACCGUAAACGGACACACGUGGUCGGGUUGAGAAUACUGAGGCGCUCGAGUGACUCACGGUUAAGGAACUAGGCAAAUUGACCCUGUAACUUCGGGAUAAAGGGUCCUCGUCGUAAGGCGAGGCGCAGAGAAUAGGUCCAGGCAACUGUUUAACAAAAACACAUGGCUAUGCUAAAUGGAAACAUGACGUAUAUAGCCUGACACCUGCCCGGUGCUGGAAGGUUAAGAGGAGAUGUCAUCGCAAGAGAAGCGUUGAAUUGAAGCCCCAGUAAACGGCGGCCGUAACUAUAACGGUCCUAAGGUAGCGAAAUUCCUUGUC